GACGAACGCUGGCGGCGGGCUUAACACAUGCAAGUCGAACGGAAAGGCCCUGCUUUUUGGGGGUGCUCUAGUGGCGAACGGGUGAGUAACACGUGAGUAACCUGCCCUUGACUUUGGGAUAACUUCAGGAAACUGGGGCUGAUACCGGAUAGUAGCUCCUGCUGCAUGGUGGGGGGUGGCAAGUUUCGGCGGGUGGGGAUGGACUCGCGGCUUAUCAGCUCGUUGGUGGGGUAGUGGCUUACCACGGCUUUGACGGAUAGCCGACCUGAGAGGGUGAACGGCCACAUGGGGACUGAGAGACGGACCAGACUCCUACGGGAGGCAGCAGUGGGGAAUAUUGCACAAUGGGCGGAAGCGUAAUGCAGCAACGCCGCGUGCGGGAUGACGGCCUUCGGGUUGUAAACCGCUUUCGCCUGUGACGAAGCGUGAGUGACGGUAAUGGGUAAAGAAGCACCGGCUAACUCCGUG
This 468-nucleotide ribosomal RNA is filed under the name uncultured bacterium. Its description in RNAcentral is "partial 16S ribosomal RNA". It matches the Rfam family "Bacterial small subunit ribosomal RNA", at positions 28 to 507 of the family's 1533-position model. The record is from RNAcentral.